This 382-nucleotide ribosomal RNA is filed under the name uncultured eukaryote. RNAcentral's name for it is "partial 18S ribosomal RNA". It matches the Rfam family "Eukaryotic small subunit ribosomal RNA", at positions 592 to 976 of the family's 1831-position model. The record is from RNAcentral.
UGUAAGCGUAUACCAAAGUUGUUGCAGUUAAAACGCUCGUAGUCGGAAUUUGGCAGUUCCGGAUGUGUGCACGUCGUGUGCGCACUUCGCGGGGAUUGCUUUUGUGGUCUUGCGUAGGAUGAGGCACUUUUAUUAGUGAACGUCCUCACGCAACCACUUUUUACUGUGAGAAAAUCAGAGUGCUCAAAGCAGGCAUUUGCCGUGAAUGUAUUAGCAUGGAAUAAUAGAAUAGGACUCGGUUCUAUUUUGUUGGUUUGUUGGGACUGAGUAAUGAUUAAGAGGGACAGUUGGGGGCAUUUGUAUUUCGGUGCUAGAGGUGAAAUUCUUAGAUUACCGAAAGACAAACUGCUGCGAAAGCGUCUGCCAAGGAUGUUUUCAUUGA